This 483-nucleotide ribosomal RNA is filed under the name uncultured bacterium. Its description in RNAcentral is "partial 16S ribosomal RNA". It matches the Rfam family "Bacterial small subunit ribosomal RNA", at positions 28 to 507 of the family's 1533-position model. The record is from RNAcentral.
GACGAACGCUGGCGGCGUGCUUAACACAUGCAAGUCGAACGCUGAAGCUCAGCUUUUGUUGGGUGGAUGAGUGGCGAACGGGUGAGUAACACGUGAGUAACCUGCCUCCUUCUUUGGGAUAACGCCCGGAAACGGGUGCUAAUACUGGAUAUUCACUGGUCUUCGCAUGGGGGUUGGUGGAAAGGGUUUUUCUGGUGGGGGAUGGGCUCGCGGCCUAACAGCUUGUUGGUGGGGUGAUGGCCUACCAAGGCUUUGACGGGUAGCCGGCCUGAGAGGGUGACCGGUCACAUUGGGACUGAGAUACGGCCCAGACUCCUACGGGAGGCAGCAGUGGGGAAUAUUGCACAAUGGGCGCAAGCCUGAUGCAGCGACGCCGCGUGAGGGAUGGAGGCCUUCGGGUUGUGAACCUCUUUCGCUCAUGGUCAAGCCGCAACAAUGGUUGUGGUGAGGGUAGUGGGUAAAGAAGCGCCGGCUAACUACGUG